This 1367-nucleotide ribosomal RNA is filed under the name Pedobacter sp. 86. Its description in RNAcentral is "bacterial SSU rRNA". It matches the Rfam family "Bacterial small subunit ribosomal RNA", at positions 51 to 1417 of the family's 1533-position model. Lineage: Bacteria; Pseudomonadati; Bacteroidota; Sphingobacteriia; Sphingobacteriales; Sphingobacteriaceae. The record is from RNAcentral.
AUACAUGCAAGUCGAACGAGAUUAUCCAGCUUGCUGGAUAUGAAAGUGGCGCACGGGUGCGUAACGCGUAUGCAACCUACCUUAAUCAGGGGGAUAGCCCGGAGAAAUCCGGAUUAACACCGCAUAAAAACACAGGAUAGCAUUAUCCAAUGUUCAAAUAUUAAUAGGAUUGAGAUGGGCAUGCGUGUCAUUAGCUAGUUGGCGGGGUAACGGCCCACCAAGGCGACGAUGACUAGGGGAUCUGAGAGGAUGACCCCCCACACUGGUACUGAGACACGGACCAGACUCCUACGGGAGGCAGCAGUAAGGAAUAUUGGUCAAUGGAGGCAACUCUGAACCAGCCAUGCCGCGUGCAGGAAGACUGCCCUAUGGGUUGUAAACUGCUUUUAUCCGGGAAUAAACCUCAAUACGUGUAUUGAGCUGAAUGUACCGGAAGAAUAAGGAUCGGCUAACUCCGUGCCAGCAGCCGCGGUAAUACGGAGGAUCCAAGCGUUAUCCGGAUUUAUUGGGUUUAAAGGGUGCGUAGGCGGCCUGUUAAGUCAGGGGUGAAAGACGGUAGCUCAACUAUCGCAGUGCCCUUGAUACUGAUGGGCUUGAAUGGACUAGAGGUAGGCGGAAUGAGACAAGUAGCGGUGAAAUGCAUAGAUAUGUCUCAGAACACCGAUUGCGAAGGCAGCUUACUAUGGUUUAAUUGACGCUGAGGCACGAAAGCGUGGGGAUCAAAACAGGAUUAGAUACCCUGGGUAGUCCACGCCCUAAACGAUGAACACUCGCUGUUGGCGAUACACAGUCAGCGGCUAAGCGAAAGCGUUAAGUGUUCCACCUGGGGAGUACGGUCGCAAGAUUGAAACUCAAAGGAAUUGACGGGGGCCCGCACAAGCGGAGGAGCAUGUGGUUUAAUUCGAUGAUACGCGAGGAACCUUACCCGGGCUUGAAAGUUAGUGAAUGAUUUAGAGAUAGAUCAGUCCGCAAGGACACGAAACUAGGUGCUGCAUGGCUGUCGUCAGCUCGUGCCGUGAGGUGUUGGGUUAAGUCCCGCAACGAGCGCAACCCCUAUGUUUAGUUGCCAGCAUGUAAUGGUGGGGACUCUAAACAGACUGCCUGUGCAAACAGAGAGGAAGGAGGGGACGACGUCAAGUCAUCAUGGCCCUUACGUCCGGGGCUACACACGUGCUACAAUGGAUGGUACAGAGGGCAGCUACAUAGCAAUAUGAUGCGAAUCUCACAAAGCCAUUCACAGUUCGGAUUGGGGUCUGCAACUCGACCCCAUGAAGUUGGAUUCGCUAGUAAUCGCGUAUCAGCAAUGACGCGGUGAAUACGUUCCCGGGCCUUGUACACACCGCCCGUCAAGCCAUGGAAGUUGGGGG